CCCUUAGACGUUCUGGGCCGCACGCGCGCUACACUGACCAGUGCAACAAGCAUCCGUCCUUGGCCGACAGGCCCGGGCAAUCUUUGAACGCUGGUCGUGAUGGGGAUAGACUUUUGCAAUUUUUGGUCUUCAACGAGGAAUUCCUAGUAAACGCAAGUCAUCAACUUGCAUCGAUUACGUCCCUGCCCUUUGUACACACCGCCCGUCGCACCUACCGAUUGAAUGGUCCGGUGAAGCCUCCGGAUUGGCGCGCACCUCGGUGCCGCCGAGAAGUUGGCUAAACCUUACCAUUUAGAGGAAGGUGAAGUCGUAACA
RNAcentral lists this ribosomal RNA (315 nucleotides) under uncultured eukaryote. RNAcentral's name for it is "partial 18S ribosomal RNA". It matches the Rfam family "Eukaryotic small subunit ribosomal RNA", at positions 1470 to 1796 of the family's 1831-position model. The record is from RNAcentral.